Molecule: long non-coding RNA, 3195 nt
Filed under: Mus musculus (house mouse)
Lineage: Eukaryota; Metazoa; Chordata; Mammalia; Rodentia; Muridae
Description: long non-coding RNA chrX:151614965-151618160
Source: RNAcentral
UAGAGACAGUUGUGAGCUGCCAUGUGGGUACCACGAAUUGAUCCCUGGUCCUGAAGAGCAGCCAGAGCCAUUUCUCUAGCCUAAAGUGUGUUUCUUGUAUGAAACAGAAAGAUAGAUCCUCUUUUCACAUCCAUUCUGUUAGCCCUUUGCCUUUGGGGGGUUGGGGAUUGAGUCUAUUGAUAGUAAAGACCAAUGAUUGUUAAUUCCUAUUGUUUGUUGUUUGGUGAUGAUGGUGUGGGUGGGAAUGGCAUGGACACACAAAUGUGGUUCCCUUCUUGUGCAAGUGUGAAAUUAUUUCCUGUGUUUUCUUGGGUGUAGUUAACCUACUUGGGUUGGAGUUUUCCUUGUAGUACCUUCUAAGGGUAAAUUUGUGGAUAGAUUUUGUUUAAAUUUGAGUUUGUCAUGGAAUAUCUUGUUUGUUCCAUCUAUGGUGAUUGAAAGUUUUUCUGGGUAUUGUACUCUGGGUCUGUAGUCUCUGGCAUCUGGACAGUCUACAGCACAUCUGUGCAGGCCCUUGUAGCUUUGAGAAGUCAGGUGUAAUUCUGAUAGAUCUGCCUUUGUGUUACUUGACAUUUUCCCUUGCAGCUUUUAAUAUUCUUUCUUUGUUCUGUAUGUUUAGUGUUUCCACUCCUAUUAUUCUUAGGUUUAGUGUUUUCAUCAUGUCUCAGGUUUCCUGGAUAUUUUGGUUCAAGAGUUUUUGAGAAUUAACAUUUUCUUUAGACUGAUGUUAACAAGUCUCUCAAGUUCUUUUCUCCUAUCUUGCACGCCUAAGAUUCUCCCUUCCAUAUCUUGUAUUCUGUUUGUGAUGCUUGCAUCUGAAGUUCCUGUUGGCUUACCUAGAUUUUACAUCUCCCAAGAUUCCCUUGGUUUGUGUUUUCUUUAUUGGUUCUAUUUCCAUUUUCAGGUCUUGAACAGUUUUAUUCAUUUUUGUAUCCUGUUUAUUAUUUUUCUAGAAUUUCUUUAAGGGAUAUAUUCAUUUCCUCUUUAAGGGCUUGUAUCAACUUCAUAAGAUUGGAUUUAAGGUCAUUUAAAUAUCCAAGGCUUGUUACAGUAGGAUAGCUGGUGGUGCCAUGUUGUCCUGGCAGUUGUUACAUUCUUAUACUGGCCUCCAGUCAUUUGGAUUUGAGGUUAUUAUAAUUUAGCUGCCUAUUUCUGUGUUUAUCUUUGAUGAAUGGAUGUUUUUUUUUCCUUGGUUUCUCUCAGGUCUUCUGGCAUGAGCAGCCUGUGGUUCUGAUGAUCAGUGAGUCUUCAGGUUUAAUAGGGUGUCUCCAUUUGGUGUUUUCUUAGCCUGUAUGACCUCUAGGGUUUUGGGUGCCUGUGUUGCCUAUUGGAAUCUGGGAACUGGUAUGACUUCUGGGAUUUUAGAUACUAGUGUGGCCUCUGGAGUUUCUAGUACCAUCUUGGCCUCCUGAAGAGCAGGGAUCUUCUGCAGGAGGUGUGAGCCUGGCGUUCCUAGUAACAUUGUGGCCUUCAAUAGAGCAGGGUCUUCUGCCAGAAUUGUGGACUGAGAUAUAAAGCCCAGGGGAGGGGGUGCUGUUGGGGACUGCUGGACCAGCUUUAAGAAGUAUUAGAAAGUGAUAGAUGGGUGUUUUACCUGGGGUUCCUAGUACUUCUGGUCCCAGCAUAGCCUCUGGUAGAGUAGGAGUCUUCUGCUGGAGUUGUGAACCAGGAUAUGGAGCCCUAGAUACAGAUUUUUGUGAUUUUGUAUCCUACCAUGUGUUGAUCAUUUCUAGAAGUUUUAUAGUUGUUUUUUAGAAUAUGUGAUGUGCAAAUAGGGACAGUUUAAUGGAUCCUUGUCUACUUUUUGAAUAAUUUAAUAAGAAUUGACUGUAAUUCUUUGCAGAUCUGUUAAAAUUUUUCUGUGAAUACAUUUGGACCUGCACUUUUUUUUUCCAAGACAGGGUUUCUCUGUAUAGCCCUGGCUGUCCUGGAACUCACUCUGUAGACCAUUCUGGCCUCAAACUCAAAAAUCCACCUGCCUCUGGACCUGCACUUUUGUAGUUAGAAUUAUUUUUAUUACUGUUUCCUAUGUUGCAGUUCUGUUUAGGUUGUUGAUCUCUUCUUGGUUUAACUUUGGUGGUUUGGAUGAAUCUAGAAAUUUGUUCAUUUCUUUUAGUUUUUUUAAGUUAAUGAGCUAUAAGUUUUUAAAAUAUUCCAUUAUAAUAUUCUUAAUUUCCUUAUGUCUGUUACAAAUGGUUCCCUGUUCAUUUUUUAUUCUGUUAGUUUAGAUCACCUGUUUCUUUGGUUUAGUUGUGUCAAAAGUGUCAAUUUUGUUCAUCUUUCUAUAGAGUUCUUAGAUUUGUUUAUUCAUUAUAUUGUUUUCUGUGUUUCUAUCUUACUAGGUUCUGCUGUGAUUUUUAUUUUUAUUUAUUUCUUGCCACAUACUGGAUUUGAAUUUGCUUUGUUCUUGUUUUCCAAAAUCUUGAGUGGCAUCUUUAAGUAAAAUAUUUGUGCUGUUUCUGACUUGUCUGUUUUUUGAGACAAGGUCUUUCUGUGUAGCUUUGGCAAAUCUAGAACCUGCAAUGGAGACAGGGCUGGCUUGGAAUUUAGAAAGGUCUGCACUGAUUAAAGACAUGAGUCACCAUACCUGGGUCUUUCUGAUUUUUAAGUGUAGGCACUUAGAGCCAUAAAUCUCUCCAGAGAUUUUGUUGUGCUUUGUUUUCAUUUUUAUUAAGUACUAAGAUUUUUUUCUUUUAUUUCCUUCUCAAUUUCUUCUUUAACCCAUUCAUCAUUCAACAAUGAGGGGUUUUUAUCUCUUAUUGCCAUGCAUUUGUGUACUUAUUAGACAUUUGUUUGCUUUUGAUUUUGUGUUUUAUUAAUCUUUUUUUUUUUUUUUUUUUGGUUUUUCAAGACAGGGUUUCUCUGUAUAGCCCUGGCUGUCCUGGAACUCACUUUGUAGACCAGGCUGGCCUCGAACUCAGAAAUCCGCCUGCCUCUGCCUCCCAAGUGCUGGGAUUAAAGGCGUGCGCCACCACUGCCCGUGUGUUUUAUUAAUCUUACAGUAAGAUAGGAUACAUGGAGUCUUUCUGAAUUUGUAAAGAUUUGUUUUGCAUUCCAAGAUGUAGUCUAUUUUAGAGAAGUAGUCUAAUCAUGGUUUCCCCUCCACCAACUCCUAGAUCCUCUCCACCUCCCCACCCACCCAAUUUCAUUCCCUUUCUCUCUAGAAAGCAAGCAAGCAAAAAAAUAUCCCCACAU